This 414-nucleotide ribosomal RNA is filed under the name uncultured beta proteobacterium. RNAcentral describes it as "bacterial SSU rRNA". It matches the Rfam family "Bacterial small subunit ribosomal RNA", at positions 9 to 423 of the family's 1533-position model. Lineage: Bacteria; Pseudomonadati; Pseudomonadota; Betaproteobacteria. The record is from RNAcentral.
GAGUUUGAUCGUGGCUCAGAUUGAACGCUGGCGGCAUGCUUUACACAUGCAAGUCGAGCGGCAGCGCGGGGGCAACCCUGGCGGCGAGCGGCGAACGGGUGAGUAAUGCAUCGGAACGUGUCCCGUAGUGGGGGAUAACCCGGCGAAAGCCGGACUAAUACCGCAUAUGCUCUACGGAGGAAAGCGGGGGAUUCGCAAGAACCUCGCGCUAUGGGAGCGGCCGAUGUCCGAUUAGCUUGUUGGUGAGGUAAUGGCUUACCAAGGCGACGAUCGGUAGCUGGUCUGAGAGGAUGAUCAGCCACACUGGGACUGAGACACGGCCCAGACUCCUACGGGAGGCAGCAGUGGGGAAUUUUGGACAAUGGGGGCAACCUUGAUCCAGCCAUGCCGCGUGCGGGAAGAAGGCCUUCGGUU